Molecule: ribosomal RNA, 319 nt
Filed under: uncultured Pseudomonadota bacterium
Lineage: Bacteria; Pseudomonadati; Pseudomonadota
Description: bacterial SSU rRNA
Rfam family: Bacterial small subunit ribosomal RNA
Source: RNAcentral
AUUGAACGCUGGCGGUAUGCUUAACACAUGCAAGUCGAACGUGAAAGAGGGGUAACCCUCAAGUAAAGUGGCGGACUGGUGAGUAAUACGUAGGAAUCUACCCUAGAGAGGGGGAUAACCCGGGGGAAACUCGGGCUAAUACCGCAUGGUCUCUAUGGAGUAAAGGUGGCUAGCAAUAGCUAUCGCUUUAGGAUGAGCCUACGCCGGAUUAGCUAGUUGGUAGGGUAAUGGCCUACCAAGGCAACGAUCCGUAGCUGGUCUGAGAGGACGACCAGCCACACUGGGACUGAGAUACGGCCCAGACUCCUACGGGAGGCUG